RNAcentral lists this unclassified non-coding RNA (405 nucleotides) under fungal sp. RNAcentral's name for it is "partial internal transcribed spacer region". The stretch from base 1 to 46 matches the Rfam family "Eukaryotic small subunit ribosomal RNA", at positions 1786 to 1831 of the family's 1831-position model. Lineage: Eukaryota; Fungi. The record is from RNAcentral.
AAGUCGUAACAAGGUCUCCGUUGGUGAACCAGCGGAGGGAUCAUUAACACGUAUCCACGUAUCAACCAACUGUGAACUUGUUUUCAUUCUCCCUGCCAAUAAUUGCAUGAGUUGAAUAGUUCGAGAUUAUGAAUGGGAACUUCGGUUCAAUCUCGGUACUAUAACCUGUCAAACUUUCAUUAGUUAGCAGACAACUGUAGUAAUAUAUGGUCAGGCCAACCUUCUGCUUUCAACUUCGCCUUUCAUGAAGUUGAUUGUGGGAACAUAACAAAAACCUAUAUCACACCUAUUUUGCUAGUUGACUUUUAUAUGUUGUUUCUUUCGUACUUCAUUGAAUGGAAGAAUCACACGUUUCUUAAUUGAACGUUAAAAUUACAACUCUUAGCAAUGGAUAUCUUGGUUCUC